RNAcentral lists this ribosomal RNA (397 nucleotides) under uncultured bacterium. RNAcentral describes it as "bacterial SSU rRNA". It matches the Rfam family "Bacterial small subunit ribosomal RNA", at positions 358 to 772 of the family's 1533-position model. The record is from RNAcentral.
GGAAUAUUGGACAAUGGGCGCAAGCCUGAUCCAGCCAUGCCGCGUGGGUGAAGAAGGCCUUAGGGUUGUAAACCCCUUUCAGCGGGGAAGAUAAUGACGGUACCCGCAGAAGAAGUCCCGGCUACCCCCGUGCACGCAGCCGCGGUAAUACGGAGGGGACUAGCGUUGUUCGGAAUUACUGGGCGUAAAGCGCCCGUAGGCGGAUUUGUAAGUCGGGGGUGAAAUCCCGAGGCUCAACCUCGGAACUGCCUUUGAUACUGCAAAUCUCGAGUCCGGAAGAGGUGAGUGGAAUUCCUAGUGUAGAGGUGAAAUUCGUAGAUAUUAGGAAGAACACCAGUGGCGAAGGCGGCUCACUGGUCCGGUACUGACGCUGAGGUGCGAAGGCGUGGGGAGCAAA